UAACCUGCCCAAGAGACUGGGAUAACACCUGGAAACAGAUGCUAAUACCGGAUAACAACACUAGACGCAUGUCUAGAGUUUAAAAGAUGGUUCUGCUGUCACUCUUGGAUGGACCUGCGGUGCAUUAGCUAGUUGGUAAGGUAACGGCUUACCAAGGCAAUGAUGCAUAGCCGAGUUGAGAGACUGAUCGGCCACAUUGGGACUGAGACGCGGCCCAAACUCCUACGGAAGGCAGCAG
RNAcentral lists this ribosomal RNA (238 nucleotides) under uncultured bacterium. Its description in RNAcentral is "partial 16S ribosomal RNA". It matches the Rfam family "Bacterial small subunit ribosomal RNA", at positions 122 to 354 of the family's 1533-position model. The record is from RNAcentral.